Molecule: ribosomal RNA, 427 nt
Filed under: uncultured bacterium
Lineage: Bacteria
Description: bacterial SSU rRNA
Rfam family: Bacterial small subunit ribosomal RNA
Source: RNAcentral
UCAGGCCUAACACAUGCAAGUCGAGGGGUAGAACAUUUCGGUGUUUGAGACCGGCGCACGGGUGCGUAACGCGUAUGCAACCUACCUUUUACAGGGGAAUAGCCCAGAGAAAUUUGGAUUAAUGCCCCAUGGUAUAUUUAGAUGGCAUCAUCUGAUUAUUAAAGUUCCAACGGUAAAAGAUGGGCAUGCGUCCUAUUAGCUAGAUGGUAAGGUAACGGCUUACCAUGGCAACGAUAGGUAGGGGUCCUGAGAGGGAGAUCCCCCACACUGGUACUGAGACACGGACCAGACUCCUACGGGAGGCAGCAGUGAGGAAUAUUGGACAAUGGGCGCAAGCCUGAUCCAGCCAUGCCGCGUGCAGGAAGAAGCAUCUAUGGUGUAAAGGUGCUUUUGUACGGGAAGAAACACUCCUACGGUAGGAGCUGAC